RNAcentral lists this microRNA (23 nucleotides) under Homo sapiens (human). Its description in RNAcentral is "hsa-miR-4757-5p". The record is from miRBase by way of RNAcentral. Lineage: Eukaryota; Metazoa; Chordata; Mammalia; Primates; Hominidae.
AGGCCUCUGUGACGUCACGGUGU